This 662-nucleotide ribosomal RNA is filed under the name Achromobacter sp. RNAcentral's name for it is "bacterial SSU rRNA". It matches the Rfam family "Bacterial small subunit ribosomal RNA", at positions 68 to 719 of the family's 1533-position model. The record is from RNAcentral. Lineage: Bacteria; Pseudomonadati; Pseudomonadota; Betaproteobacteria; Burkholderiales; Alcaligenaceae.
GGUAGCACAGAGGAGCUUGCUCCUUGGGUGACGAGUGGCGGACGGGUGAGUAAUGUCUGGGAAACUGCCCGAUGGAGGGGGAUAACUACUGGAAACGGUAGCUAAUACCGCAUAACGUCGCAAGACCAAAGAGGGGGACCUUCGGGCCUCUUGCCAUCGGAUGUGCCCAGAUGGGAUUAGCUAGUAGGUGGGGUAACGGCUCACCUAGGCGACGAUCCCUAGCUGGUCUGAGAGGAUGACCAGCCACACUGGAACUGAGACACGGUCCAGACUCCUACGGGAGGCAGCAGUGGGGAAUAUUGCACAAUGGGCGCAAGCCUGAUGCAGCCAUGCCGCGUGUAUGAAGAAGGCCUUCGGGUUGUAAAGUACUUUCAGCGAGGAGGAAGGUGUUGAGGUUAAUAACCGCAGCGAUUGACGUUACUCGCAGAAGAAGCACCGGCUAACUCCGUGCCAGCAGCCGCGGUAAUACGGAGGGUGCAAGCGUUAAUCGGAAUUACUGGGCGUAAAGCGCACGCAGGCGGUCUGUCAAGUCGGAUGUGAAAUCCCCGGGCUCAACCUGGGAACUGCAUCCGAAACUGGCAGGCUAGAGUCUUGUAGAGGGGGGUAGAAUUCCAGGUGUAGCGGUGAAAUGCGUAGAGAUCUGGAGGAAUACCGGUGGCGAA